This 478-nucleotide ribosomal RNA is filed under the name uncultured bacterium. Its description in RNAcentral is "partial 16S ribosomal RNA". It matches the Rfam family "Bacterial small subunit ribosomal RNA", at positions 28 to 523 of the family's 1533-position model. The record is from RNAcentral.
GACGAACGCUGGCGGCGUGCUUAACACAUGCAAGUCGAACGGUAAGGCCCUUCAGGGUACACGAGUGGCGAACGGGUGAGUAACACGUGGGUGAUCUGCCCUGCACUUCGGGAUAAGCCUGGGAAACUGGGUCUAAUACCGGAUAGGACCACUGCCUGCAUGGGUGGUGGUGGAAAGCUUUUGCGGUGUGGGAUGGGCCCGCGGCCUAUCAGCUUGUUGGUGGGGUGAUGGCCUACCAAGGCGACGACGGGUAGCCGGCCUGAGAGGGUGACCGGCCACACUGGGACUGAGGUACGGCCCAGACUCCUACGGGAGGCAGCAGUGGGGAAUAUUGCACAAUGGGCGCAAGCCUGAUGCAGCGACGCCGCGUGAGGGAUGACGGCCUUCGGGUUGUAAACCUCUCUCAGCACCGACGAAGCGCAAGUGACGGUAGGUGCAGAAGAAGGACCGGCCAACUACGUGCCAGCCGCCGCGGUAA